AGGUCGUCCCGGGUGGGUAUCAGAUGGUCAGUAGGUCAUCCCUGGUGGGUAUCAGAGGGUCAGUAGGUCGUCCCUGGUGGGUAUCAGAGGGUCAGUAGGUCGUCCCUGGUGGGUAUCAGAGGGUCAGUAGGUCGUCCCUGGUGGGUAUCAGAGGGUCAUCCCUGGUGGGUAUCAGAGGGUCAGUAGGUCGUCCCUGGUGGGUAUCAGAGGGUCAGUAGGUCGUCCCUGGUGGGUAUCAGAGGGUCAGUAGGUCGUCCCUGGUGGGUAUCAGAGGGUCAGUAGGUCGUCCCU
This is a non-coding RNA of Oncorhynchus mykiss (rainbow trout), 291 nucleotides long. Lineage: Eukaryota; Metazoa; Chordata; Actinopteri; Salmoniformes; Salmonidae. The record is from RefSeq and is a predicted model, not a curated record.